RNAcentral lists this small RNA (96 nucleotides) under Pedobacter zeae. Its description in RNAcentral is "Flavo-1 RNA". It matches the Rfam family "Flavo-1 RNA". The record is from RNAcentral. Lineage: Bacteria; Pseudomonadati; Bacteroidota; Sphingobacteriia; Sphingobacteriales; Sphingobacteriaceae.
AAAUAGCCCUGAUGGAAAUGGAAAUCCCUUUUGAAAUAAUAAAAUUGUUAUUUAGGGAUGUUAUCCAAAGGAUUGGAAUGUACAGCAGGACGGAAC